RNAcentral lists this ribosomal RNA (394 nucleotides) under Strongyloides sp. AC-2021. RNAcentral describes it as "partial large subunit ribosomal RNA". It matches the Rfam family "Eukaryotic large subunit ribosomal RNA", at positions 882 to 1275 of the family's 3401-position model. Lineage: Eukaryota; Metazoa; Nematoda; Chromadorea; Rhabditida; Strongyloididae. The record is from RNAcentral.
GGUCCUGACGUGCAAAUCGGUCGUCUGACAUUAGUAUAGGGGCGAAAGACUAAUCGAACCAUCUAGUAGCUGGUUCCGGCCGAAGUUUCCCCCAGGAUAGCUGAAACUAUUAUACAGAUACAUCCGGUAAAGCUAAUGUUUAGAGGAAUAGGGGAUAAUAUAUCCUUUAUCUAUUUACAAACUAUAAAUGGGUGUGAUAUUAUGAUUACUUAAUUUGAAUCAUAAUUUCGAUUGUAUAGUUUCAAGUGGGCCAUUUUUGGUAAGCAGAACUGGCGACGUGGGAUGAACCAAAAGUAUUGUUAAAGUGCCUAAAUUUUUGCUCAUCAGACCCCAUAAAAAGUGUUGUUUGAUAUUGACAGCAGGGCGGUGGCCAUGGAAGUCGGAAUCCGCUAAG